GUCGAGCGGAUGAGUGGAGCUUGCUCCAUGAUUCAGCGGCGGACGGGUGAGUAAUGCCUAGGAAUCUGCCUGGUAGUGGGGGACAACGUUUCGAAAGGAACGCUAAUACCGCAUACGUCCUACGGGAGAAAGUGGGGGAUCUUCGGACCUCACGCUAUCAGAUGAGCCUAGGUCGGAUUAGCUAGUUGGUGAGGUAAAGGCUCACCAAGGCGACGAUCCGUAACUGGUCUGAGAGGAUGAUCAGUCACACUGGAACUGAGACACGGUCCAGACUCCUACGGGAGGCAGCAGUGGGGAAUAUUGGACAAUGGGCGAAAGCCUGAUCCAGCCAUGCCGCGUGUGUGAAGAAGGUCUUCGGAUUGUAAAGCACUUUAAGUUGGGAGGAAGGGCAGUAAGUUAAUACCUUGCUGUUUUGACGUUACCAACAGAAUAAGCACCGGCUAACUUCGUGCCAGCAGCCGCGGUAAUACGAAGGGUGCAAGCGUUAAUCGGAAUUACUGGGCGUAAAGCGCGCGUAGGUGGUUCGUUAAGUUGGAUGUGAAGCCCCGGCUCACCUGGAACUGCAUCCAACUGCGAGCUAGAGUAUGGCAGAGGGUGUGAUUACUGUGUAGCGUGAAUGCGUAGAUAUAGGA
RNAcentral lists this ribosomal RNA (632 nucleotides) under Pseudomonas sp. Its description in RNAcentral is "bacterial SSU rRNA". It matches the Rfam family "Bacterial small subunit ribosomal RNA", at positions 61 to 705 of the family's 1533-position model. The record is from RNAcentral. Lineage: Bacteria; Pseudomonadati; Pseudomonadota; Gammaproteobacteria; Pseudomonadales; Pseudomonadaceae.